This 1581-nucleotide long non-coding RNA is filed under the name Mus musculus (house mouse). Its description in RNAcentral is "long non-coding RNA chr3:62394524-62396105". The record is from RNAcentral. Lineage: Eukaryota; Metazoa; Chordata; Mammalia; Rodentia; Muridae.
UCCCGGUUCUCCUCUGUAUCGGGUGUGCAUUCGAGGAGGCACAUUUACAGAUGCAAGCCUGCACUUGUGUAUGUGGACCCAUUGACGAGUGUGCUGGACGUCACUUUCCAGGCUGUCUUCAGUUACCUAUCUCACGAGCUGCAAUUCUGCCUGACCCCAUUUUAUUAAGAAAAAGCCAAAAACAAACAAACCAAAAAACCAAAAAAAAAAAAAAAAAAAAAAAAAAAAAAAGAAAAAGAAAACCAAAAACCAAACAAAAAAAUCCCCAACACACACACACAAAAUCAACCAAACAACCAAACACCGCUCCCUCUUCCCCAGCAAUCCCCCCAUCCCAGUCCCUAGUCCAGCUUAUUAAGUCAUUGAAUUACUUUCUUAGAUUUCUCUGACAGUCAGGUCUUUGAGGAGGAGUAAUUUUUAGCCUCCAGGUCCCAGGUUUAGCAGUCGUCUUUAGACUCUAGAGCAGCUGAUACUUUGGAGCAGGUUUUAAGCAGUACUCUUGUUGAGGAGGGGUUGGUUUGUCUCGGCUGUGUUCACGCCGUCCCUGCCUUUGAACCUUCGCUCGCCCCUCUAUCCUUUUCUACUUUCCUGGCCAACAUCUGGUUUACUGGUGUACUGCUACGUGUGUGAUGAACAUGGAGUUAGCUUGUUGCACAUGGCACCCUUGGUACCCUUGGUAUCUUACUCAUAGAGUCACAGACGGAGAGCUAUCUUAGUGCUAUUUCUGGACCACGUGACUUCUAGUCUUGGAAAAUAUUAUUUUAAUUUAAAACUCUCCUCUUAUAAGCUGCUGAUCAAAACAUAUGCAAAAAAAAUCACAUUUGUUUUCUUCUCUAUUCCUUAGGGAUUUUCGGUAGAAAAACACUUGAUUUUGCCAAUUUUAUUUCAGCUUUCUAAGCUUGAACUAAUUCACAACUUUGAAGAGUGGCUUUUGUUGAUCAUAGCUCUUUUCCUGAUAACAGAGUAAGGAAUCUCAGUCUCACCCUUGGGCUGGUCACUUCCCCAUCUCUCCCUAGCCUCUGCUUAAUGAGCCUCUCCUCUGUGAAGGGCUGAUGCUUAUCCGAAUAACCCCAGGACCCAAAGCGCUGACUCUCUGGUCUUUAUUGAAACAGCGUUAUCACCAGUUCCAACUGGAGAAUUCUGCAUUACUGGCUGUGCCUUUCUCGGUUGUAAAUUCUUCCAGUGGUAUGUGGGUCAGAACAGUGAGCCUCACAGAGAUGGGACUGGCAAACUUUACCCAGGGCUCUGCUGUGUGUCUUAUAUUAGGCCCUGAAAGUGGUGGAAGCCUUCGGGAUGUCUUGAAAAGUAUAGCUAUAUGUAUCACAAUAAUACUUUUACAAUUAGGGAUUAGUUUGAGAGAGCAGAUGGCCAUAAAGCACUGGUUGUCAACCUUUCUAAUACUGCAACUCAUUACAGUUCCUCUUGCUGUGGUGACCCCAACCAUAAAUUUUUCCAUUGCUACUUCCCAACUGUAAUAUUGUCACUGCUGUGAAUCAUAAUGUAAUUAUCUGAUAUGAGACCAAGGAGUCCUAAUAGGAGAUAAGUCUAAAAUUAUUAUUUGAGCGUGAACAUUAAAGUUGU